UUACACACCACUUCUCCCACAAUUCUACACACCAAAAAUUCUCUCCAUUCUCUAGUCUUCAAAAGCUCUGCGUCUCAACCAAGGAGGAGAAGAAGUCAUGCAAUACAUCAAGAUCCUAGCCGCCAUCCACCCUUGUGUCGUCCCUAGAAGAAUGCUUGCUUUCAAGGAUCUUCAAGUUCUUCGUCUCAAGGCUUGUCAUCCAUCUUUCACGGUGGUUAAAUUGCGUGUUUAGUUUUAGCGAAUCAUCUUUAAUAAAUCUGAGUUUCUUCUCUGGAGCUGCGGUCACUCUCCUCCUCGAUCAAAUCCGAGAAUCUGGCCGGGGAGAGUAAUUUUCAACUCAAAUGUUCAAAUCUUGGAUCCAUUCUGGCCCCGUGAAAGCAAUAGCGUAGAGAGCACAUGUUAGCUGCAUUUGUUGCACCCCUAGUCCAAUGUUGUUCACUGAUUCUCACAUUCUGCUCGGGAUAAUAAAUUUAGCAGGUCCCUCCAGUUUGAUUUGAUUGAGGGAACCUAUCACUGUUUGUUCUUCUCUUUUUUAAAUCAGUGUUCAUUAAGGACCUUCCCAGAGGUUACCCUCACC
This is a long non-coding RNA of Rosa rugosa (rugosa rose), 577 nucleotides long. RefSeq lists it as uncharacterized. The transcript has 2 exons. The record is from RefSeq and is a predicted model, not a curated record. Lineage: Eukaryota; Viridiplantae; Streptophyta; Magnoliopsida; Rosales; Rosaceae.